CGCCCGAUGGCCGCUGCCGGGACUCUCCUCCAUCUCCUGGAGCUCACAAGCCACCGGAGAAUUCGUGAAAGCCCCUGUGAUGGCGGGGGGAGGAAGAGUGGCAGCGGGAAGGAGCAGGCGGCGGCCGGUGAGGGGAGAGGCCCGCCUGCCCCCCCUCCUCAGCGCACCUCAGGAGCGGCGGGGGAUGCUGGAGCCCGGCGAUCUCGGCUGGUUGCCGGCUGAGGUGGAAGCCAGAGCCGUCCGCCACGAUGCUCUGUAAUAGUUCCUUGCAAGAAGAAUUUGAGCAUCUUUAAGAGAAAGAGACACCCUGCAGGAGAGAAAGGUGGAAGGCUCCGGAGGCGUAACUGACAGUUACGGACAUGGACUACCCAAACUAGGUUGGUUAAAAGGGGCAAGGUCAUUGUCUGGCUAUAGUGGCCAUGAAACUUGAGAGUUUUGGCAAAAGCGAUGUUCUGCUUAUAAAAAAGCGGCGAUGUGUCUCCCUUCUACAAGUACUGCUUUCAUCUCCUUCACUUUUUGCUUGCUGUUGCACUCAGAAGACCUUAGUCCCUCUGCAACAAGCAUUCCACAGCAAGAUAACUUUGAUGCAGUUGCUGCCUAUCACAGCAGAACAGAAACUCUGUAACAACUUGUUAUAGUUAAAAUAAAAAAACUAAGU
Calidris pugnax (ruff) is the source of this 658-nucleotide long non-coding RNA. RefSeq lists it as uncharacterized. The record is from RefSeq and is a predicted model, not a curated record. NCBI's taxonomy places the organism in Eukaryota, Metazoa, Chordata, Aves, Charadriiformes, Scolopacidae. The transcript is spliced from 2 exons.